Molecule: ribosomal RNA, 251 nt
Filed under: uncultured prokaryote
Description: partial 16S rRNA
Rfam family: Bacterial small subunit ribosomal RNA
Source: RNAcentral
ACGGGGGGAGCGAGCGUUGUUCGGAAUUACUGGGCGUAAAGGGCGUCUAGGCGGGCUUGUAAGUCAGGUGUGAAAUACCUCGGCUCAACCGGGGAACUGCACUUGAAACUGCAGGUCUUGAGUUCGGAAGGGGAAAGCGGAAUUCCUGGUGUAGCGGUGAAAUGCGUAGAUAUCAGGAAGAACACCGGUGGCGAAGGCGGCUUUCUGGUCCGAUACUGACGCUGAAGCGCGAAAGUGUGGGGAGCAAACAG